RNAcentral lists this ribosomal RNA (253 nucleotides) under uncultured bacterium. Its description in RNAcentral is "partial 16S ribosomal RNA". It matches the Rfam family "Bacterial small subunit ribosomal RNA", at positions 524 to 776 of the family's 1533-position model. The record is from RNAcentral.
UACGUAGGGCGCAAGCGUUGUCCGGAAUCAUUGGGCGUAAAGAGUUCGUAGGCGGUUUGUCGCGUCGUUCGUGAAAACUUGGGGCUUAACUCCAAGCGUGCGGGCGAUACGGGCAGACUUGAGUACUACAGGGGAGACUGGAAUUCCUGGUGUAGCGGUGAAAUGCGCAGAUAUCAGGAGGAACACCGGUGGCGAAGGCGGGUCUCUGGGUAGUAACUGACGCUGAGGAACGAAAGCGUGGGUAGCGAACAGG